CCUUCCUUCUGCUCAGAUAUACCACCAGGCCUGAAAGAUCUCAGAAAUGUGCCCAAGUCUUCUAGCAAAAAGGAGGAAUUGAGCACUUAAUAUUAACAAGCUUUUCAGCAAUGCAAAUGUCUUCCUGGCAAAGAGGAGACACCAUCUUUGAUGUUUGAUUUAAUUACCAGCAGUCAGCAC
Long non-coding RNA from Empidonax traillii (willow flycatcher), 180 nucleotides. RefSeq lists it as uncharacterized. Lineage: Eukaryota; Metazoa; Chordata; Aves; Passeriformes; Tyrannidae. The record is from RefSeq and is a predicted model, not a curated record. The transcript has 3 exons.